RNAcentral lists this ribosomal RNA (253 nucleotides) under uncultured bacterium. RNAcentral describes it as "partial 16S ribosomal RNA". It matches the Rfam family "Bacterial small subunit ribosomal RNA", at positions 524 to 776 of the family's 1533-position model. The record is from RNAcentral.
GACAGAGGGUGCAAACGUUGCUCGGAAUUACUGGGCGUAAAGGGCGUGUAGGCGGGAAGGCAAGUCGGGCGUGAAAGCCCCAGGCUCAACCUGGGAACUGCACUCGAAACUGCCUUUCUUGAGUGCCGGAGAGGAAAGCGGAAUUCCUGGUGUAGAGGUGAAAUUCGUAGAUAUCAGGAGGAACACCAGUGGCGAAGGCGGCUACCUGGACCAGCACUGACACUGAGGCACGAAAGCGUGGGGAGCAAACAGG